This 204-nucleotide unclassified non-coding RNA is filed under the name Hevea brasiliensis (rubber tree). The record is from RNAcentral. Lineage: Eukaryota; Viridiplantae; Streptophyta; Magnoliopsida; Malpighiales; Euphorbiaceae.
CAAAGAAUGAAGGUGGACGUGGGGGGGCCCGAGGUGGUGGACGUGGCUCUGGCCGUGGGCGUGGAGGUGGCAGUGGAUUUAAUCGAGAUUCAAAUAACAAUGAGACUACCUUUGGCAGCAACAAUGGAUUUUCUAGAGGGUACAGACCAUCUGAAGAGGGUGACACUGGGAAGCCAUCUGAGAAGCGUGGCUAUGGAGGCCCUC